ACCCAACAUCCUGAAUUCAAUUGAAAACUCAACAGCAUCAAAAUGAUCAAGUACAUCGUCUUCUUCCUCAUCAUUGCCAUCAUCUGCCAAUUCUCUAUGGCCGGUUUAGUUCCCGACAUAAGUGCCUCAAGUUCCAAGGCCGUAGCAGCAGCUGCAGCCGCCAGUAAGUCCGUCUCUUCUAGCCUCUUGCCUUGCUGAAGUUCUCUUGGAAAAAUGAUACCAACAUGGCCGGCCAGGAAAGACCGUCAAUUUAUGAACGCUGUUGAGAUAUUAUUUCUAUUAUUUUUCUACAUAUAUUAGUACCCAAUCACAAGUAAUUUUUCAUGAAAAAUACCAUGAAGUUAUCCAAUAAAAAGCAGUGAAAGCAA
This is a long non-coding RNA of Cephus cinctus (wheat stem sawfly), 368 nucleotides long. RefSeq lists it as uncharacterized. The transcript has 2 exons. The record is from RefSeq and is a predicted model, not a curated record. Lineage: Eukaryota; Metazoa; Arthropoda; Insecta; Hymenoptera; Cephidae.